RNAcentral lists this transfer RNA (67 nucleotides) under Camptonotus carolinensis (leaf-rolling cricket). Its description in RNAcentral is "tRNA-Phe". The record is from RNAcentral. Lineage: Eukaryota; Metazoa; Arthropoda; Insecta; Orthoptera; Gryllacrididae.
AUUUAAAUAGCUUAAAAGAGAGAGCAUAACAUUGAAGAUGUUGUUGUAGUAGAAAUACUUUUAAAUA